RNAcentral lists this transfer-messenger RNA (351 nucleotides) under Candidatus Saccharicenans sp. It matches the Rfam family "transfer-messenger RNA". Rfam says of the family: Bacterial tmRNA, also known as 10Sa RNA or SsrA, is named for its dual tRNA and mRNA-like properties. Its role is to liberate the mRNA from a stalled ribosome. RNAcentral also lists the same sequence under 1 other name. Lineage: Bacteria; Candidatus Aminicenantota; Candidatus Aminicenantia; Candidatus Aminicenantales; Candidatus Saccharicenantaceae. The record is from RNAcentral.
GGGGGCGAAAUGGACUCGACGGAGGUAGUGAAGCAGAAGCUGCAGGCCGAGGUCCCAUCAACCUCGUUAAACAGGUGGGAAAAAAUUAACUGCAGAACCUGUUGCAGUCGCUGCCUGAUAGAAAGUGCAGCCGUUUCCGCCAGCCUGUCCUGCGGGCUAGUGGAAACGCCGUUUAGCAGGAUAGUCCGGCGGGUGUGCUCAGGGCUCGCUGGAUGAAAUGCCUCUUGAGCUGGUUGAGUGGAGCUCUUCCUCUUCAAGAACUGCUCAACAAGAUGCAAUGAAGAGGAUAAGCCUGUAGAGGCAACUGUGGAAUGCCUUCGGACGCGGGUUCGAUUCCCGCCGCCUCCACCA